Lathyrus oleraceus (garden pea) is the source of this 1268-nucleotide long non-coding RNA. RefSeq lists it as uncharacterized. Lineage: Eukaryota; Viridiplantae; Streptophyta; Magnoliopsida; Fabales; Fabaceae. The transcript has 2 exons. The record is from RefSeq and is a predicted model, not a curated record.
UAAGACCCAGCCCACACAAAACUACCGAAACCCAGUUGUCCGCCUACUCAUUCAUAAACCCUAAUUUGAGGAUCAUCACUUCAUUGCUAAUAUAUAUUGUCAUCCUCCUUCUCACAUUCUCAGACAAACACUGUUUUAGGUGACGAUACAUUUUGUGGACUAGAGUUUCUGAUGUGGGAAUCUUCACCCAGAAAUUGAUUACAAAACCCUUGGCUGUCUGAGCGCAAAUGAUUUCUCCAAUUUCGUAUGAAUUAGGGUUAUAUCUUUUAGAUCUUGAAAAUCAAUUUGGCUUAUGAUGAUAAUAUACUUUAUCUUAGCGGAUUUCAGUGAGAUUUUUUAUCAAGGAUCUGAUUGUUACACACGCUGAAGCUAUUUUUCAUUGCUUUUUGUGUUGUUAAUUCUUACCGAACCAAUUGAUCUUUUUCUCGUUUUGUGAUUUAUUCCUUUUGUUAUUAAAUUGUAUUGCGUCCAUUUACCAAUUCUGAAGGAUUAAUUGUUCCUUUCAGUGUAAUGGCUCGGACGCCAGAUCGAUUUUGUGGUGAUCCUGACGGAUGGGUUUUAUUCAAUACCAUUUGGUCUUGGAAACGCCUCAAACAUUCUUUUUCUAAUCAUUGAAGAAACUUUGAUACGAAUACUUUUCAAUAUUUAUAUUCCAGUGUUUAAGUUCUAGAUUCCAUUGGCUUUGACAGUUAAACUGAUAUUAAUCGGAUCUGAAUCAUCUGUUGAGUUUGACGGAAAUUGGUACUUUGUUAUCAGAUAUCAUUAAUCUUGAGUGUACCAAUUUCUUUCAAAUUCAUCAGUUGAACAUGAUCCAGUUGGAGUUCCCUUAUACCAUCCGUUUAUCUAUUGUUAUAAAGAUAAAAUGUGGGAUCGAACUAUCGAGGCACCAUUAUAUCAUAGUUGAGGGUUUUUGUCUUAUGGCAUGUUCCAAUCUCGUGCUCAUCCAUAUGCACAUGCUCAUGUACAAUCUACUUUCAGGCGUUUGAUUGACCACAUUUUGGCGGACGAAGGACGGCAUUUGUUUCAAUUCAUACAAUGAUACAUGUCAAACACGACCUUUAAAGGAUGUUUUUUUUCCACCUCAUUUCCUAGUUCUAAUUAUAUUAAACGAUUUAUUUUUAUCUGUUGCUUGUAAUGUCAUUUAGGAUUACUAAUUAUUUGGUUCAAUUAGUUUUGCCUUUAAUUGACAACAGAUAUUCUCUUUUAUAUGUAAUGUUGGAUGAUCAGUAAUAAUACAAAAUAAAUAGUACGAAUGCCAUAUUUAAAUA